AAUGAACGCUGGCGGCGUGCUUAACACAUGCAAGUCGAACGAGGCUGAGGGGGCAACUCCUCAGUUUAGUGGCGGACGGGUGAGUAACACGUGGGUAACCUGCCCGGAAGUGGGGAACGCCUCGGGGAAACUCGAGCUAAUACCGCAUGACAUCUUCGGGACGAAAGUCCUGACGAUCAAAGCGGGGUCGCAAGAUCUCGCGCUACCGGAUGGGCCCGCGCCCGAUUAGCUAGUUGGUGAGGUAACGGCUCACCAAGGCUUCGAUCGGUAACCGGCCUGAGAGGGCGAUCGGUCACACCGGAACUGAGACACGGUCCGGACUCCUACGGGAGGCAGCAGUGGGGAAUCUUGCGCAAUGGGCGAAAGCCUGACGCAGCAAACGCCGCGUGGAGGAUGAAGGCCCUUGGGUUGUAAACUCCUGUCGGCUGGGAAGAAAUCUUUCGGGGUUAAUACCCCCGGGAGUUGACUGUACCCAGCAAAGGAAGCCCCGGCUAACUCUGUGCCAGCCGCCGCAGCAAG
RNAcentral lists this ribosomal RNA (519 nucleotides) under uncultured bacterium. RNAcentral describes it as "bacterial SSU rRNA". It matches the Rfam family "Bacterial small subunit ribosomal RNA", at positions 29 to 524 of the family's 1533-position model. The record is from RNAcentral.